AAACCAUGGUGAGGGCACCUUCUCAAUUGGUCAUAUCUCUCCCAUGCAUCAUAAAGUGUUUCUAAAUCCGUCUACACAAAAGAAGAAAUAUCAUUCCUUAAUUA
Molecule: non-coding RNA, 104 nt
Organism: Gossypium arboreum
Lineage: Eukaryota; Viridiplantae; Streptophyta; Magnoliopsida; Malvales; Malvaceae
Source: Rfam